GAUGAACGCUAGCUACAGGCUUAACACAUGCAAGUCGAGGGGAAACGACAUCGAAAGCUUGCUUUUGAUGGGCGUCGACCGGCGCACGGGUGAGUAACGCGUAUCCAACCUGCCCACCACUUGGGGAUAACCUUGAGAAAGUAAGACUAAUACCCAAUGAUAUCUCUAGAAGACAUCUGAAAGAGAUUAAAGAUUUAUCGGUGAUGGAUGGGGAUGCGUCUGAUUAGCUUGUUGGAGGGGUAACGGCCCACCAAGGCUACGAUCAGUAGGGGUUCUGGGAUGAAUGUCCCCCACAUAGUAACUGAGACACGGUCCAAACUCCUACGGGAGGCAGCAUUGAGGAAUAUUGGUCAAUGGACGGGAAUCUGAACCAGCCAAGUAGGGUGCAGGAUGACGGCCCUAUGGGUUGUAAACUGCUUUUAUAAGGGAAUAAAGUGAGUCUCGUGAGACUUUUUGCAUGUACCUUAUGAAUAAGGACCGGCUAAUUCCGUGCCAGCCGCCGCUGUAA
Molecule: ribosomal RNA, 508 nt
Filed under: uncultured bacterium
Lineage: Bacteria
Description: partial 16S ribosomal RNA
Rfam family: Bacterial small subunit ribosomal RNA
Source: RNAcentral